Ursus americanus (American black bear) is the source of this 99-nucleotide small nuclear RNA. The record is from Ensembl. NCBI's taxonomy places the organism in Eukaryota, Metazoa, Chordata, Mammalia, Carnivora, Ursidae.
GUGCUUGUUUCAUCAGCACUAAAAUUGGAAUAACACAGAGAAAAUUAGUAUGGCCAUUGUGCAAGCAACACACAAAUUCAUGAAGCGUUCCAUAUUUUU